AACGCAAGUUGCGCCCGAAGCCUUGGCUGAGGGCACGUCUGCCUGGGUGUCACGCAUCGCGUUGCAUCCAAACCCUUCACCCUUCGGACGUUGCGGUGACGGUCUGGAUGCGGAAGCUGGCCUCCCGCGGCCGCGAGCCACGGAUGGCCCAAACACGUGCUAGGGGAGCGAAGCGCCACGGCAUCCGGUGGUUGAUCCAAGCCCCAGAAGCAGUGCCGGCGGUGGCCGCACCCGUCCCUAGCCGACGACCCUAAACGUUAACCAACGCGACCUCAGGUCAGGCGGGGCUACCCGCUGAGUUUAA
This 304-nucleotide unclassified non-coding RNA is filed under the name uncultured soil eukaryote. Its description in RNAcentral is "sequence contains 5.8S rRNA gene, ITS2, 28S rRNA gene". The record is from RNAcentral.